Molecule: ribosomal RNA, 468 nt
Filed under: uncultured bacterium
Lineage: Bacteria
Description: partial 16S ribosomal RNA
Rfam family: Bacterial small subunit ribosomal RNA
Source: RNAcentral
GACGAACGCUGGCGGCGUGCUUAACACAUGCAAGUCGAACGGAAAGGCCCUGCUUUUGUGGGGUGCUCGAGUGGCGAACGGGUGUGUAACACGUGAGUAACCUGCCCUUGACUUUGGGAUAACUUCAGGAAACUGGGGAUAAUACCGGAUAGGAGCUCCUGCUGCGUGGUGGGGGUUGGAAAGUUUCGGCGGUUGGGGAUGGACUCGCGGCUUAUCAGCUUGUUGGUGGGGUAGUGGCUUACCAAGGCUUUGACGGGUAGCCGGCCUGAGAGGGUGACCGGCCACAUUGGGACUGAGAUACGGCCCAGACUCCUACGGGAGGCAGCAGUGGGGAAUAUUGCACAAUGGGCGGAAGCCUGAUGCAGCAACGCCGCGUGCGGGAUGACGGCCUUCGGGUUGUAAACCGCUUUCGCCUGGGACGAAGCGUGAGUGACGGUAAUGGGUAAAGAAGCACCGGCUAACUACGUG